AAGCCUCACAAAGGCCACCACCACCCCAAACAUUCCCCAGCCCCUUCACCAACUAAGCCUCCCACUUAUAGCCCAUCGAAACCACCAGUUAAACCACCGGUUAAACCACCAACUAAGGCUCCCACUUAUAGCCCAUCAAAACCACCAGCUAAGCCACCAGUUAAACCACCAACACCAACACCAUCACCUUAUCCUGCUCCUGCUCCUAUUACUAGGAAACCUGUAGCAGUCCGUGGCCUUGUUUACUGCAAGCCGUGCAAGUUUAGAGGGGUUAAAACUCUAAACCAAGCUUCCCCACUCCUGGGUAAUUUGUUUAAUAUCCUUCUUUUUUAUAAAUCAUUACUCCCUCCGUUCCAGUUUACGUGAACCUAUUUCCUUUUUGGUCCGUUCCAAAAAGAAUGACCCAUUUCUAAAUUUGGAAAUAAUUUAGCUUAAACUUACAAUUCUACCCUUAAUGAGAAGCUUUUAUAACCACACAAAUACUCUAGGUCCCCUUUUAACUUGUUUAGGACCACAAAUUCCAAAAGUCUUCAUUUUUUCUUAAACUCCGUGCCCAGUCAAACAGGUUCACAUAAAUUGGAACGGAGGGAGUAUUUUUUUUUAGUUAACAUUUUAAGCAAUCAACAUUAACAUAUAAUCUGAGUGACUCAUAUCAGUAUUACUUAUGUCAUUUUACUUGGCGAGAUAUACUAUAGGUAAGGUUAAUAAACCCAUUCCGAUAGAAAAGGGCAUUUUACCAAAAAGAGUCAAAUUUUCGUUUUCAAAACUCUAGUACCACAUCAAACUUUAAGUUAAUACAUAUGUUUCUAACGAUUUCUUAGUAUUUUGAGCUGAAAUUUUUUACUCUUUUUAUUUGGCAGCAUUGAUGUUGCUAUGGCUAUUAAUAUAGAUUGUUAUACAUAUCUUAUGUGCAUGCACACUGAACAGUAGUUAUUUACCCUCGAAAUUAUAAAUUUGAAUAUAUACCAUGACAUAUUGACACUGUAAAUAAUUUCUAUUCACCAUCAAUCUAUUGUAGUAGGUUUCACCCUUAUUCUUCAAGUAGCUAAUUACACUCAUAAUUAUAGGUGGUUAUCUAUAGUUAUCUUUUAGGUGACAUGAUACCGUAGCACUUUCGUUUAGUUAUAACAUUCCGAAAAC
RNAcentral lists this long non-coding RNA (1140 nucleotides) under Nicotiana tabacum (common tobacco). Its description in RNAcentral is "long non-coding RNA (NTAB_LNC008700)". The record is from RNAcentral. Lineage: Eukaryota; Viridiplantae; Streptophyta; Magnoliopsida; Solanales; Solanaceae.